Molecule: ribosomal RNA, 1000 nt
Filed under: uncultured Basidiomycota
Lineage: Eukaryota; Fungi; Basidiomycota
Description: eukaryotic LSU rRNA
Rfam family: Eukaryotic large subunit ribosomal RNA (bases 321-1000)
Source: RNAcentral
AUCGAUGAAGAACGCAGCGAAAUGCGAUAAGUAAUGUGAAUUGCAGAAUUCAGUGAAUCAUCGAAUCUUUGAACGCACCUUGCACCCUUUGGUAUUCCAAAGGGUAUGCUCGUUUGAGUGUCAUUAUACUCUCACACUCUCUGAUUAGUUAGGGAGCGGUGGACUUGGGUGUUGCCUGGUACUUACUGUCAGGCUCAUCUCAAAUGGGUUAGUGCGAACUCCUAGUUAAACAUAACGGCGUGAUAAGUAACCCCUCUCGCUGUUUUCUGUCUGAUUAGGAGCUCGUGCUUCAAAUCGUCUUAGGACAAUGUCUAACAACUUGACCUCAAAUCGAGUAGGAUUACCCGCUGAACUUAAGCAUAUCAAUAAGCGGAGGAAAAGAAACUAACAAGGAUUCCCCUAGUAACGGCGAGUGAAGAGGGAAAAGCUCAAAUUUUGAAUCUGGCGUCUUUGGCGUCCGAGUUGUAAUCUAGAGAAGUGUUUUCCGUGGCGGACCGUGCAUAAGUCUCCUGGAAUGGGGCGUCAUAGAGGGUGAGAAUCCCGUGUAUGGCAUGGACUACCGUUACUCUGUGAUACACUCUCAACGAGUCGAGUUGUUUGGGAAUGCAGCUCUAAAUGGGUGGUAAAUGCCAUCUAAAGCUAAAUAUUGGCGAGAGACCGAUAGCGAACAAGUACCGUGAGGGAAAGAUGAAAAGCACUUUGGAAAGAGAGUGAAACAGUACGUGAAAUUGUUGAAAGGGAAACGCUUGAAGUCAGGCGCACCCUUGGGGAUUCAGCCUUGCUUCUGCUUGGUUUACUUCGCCUUGGGUGGGUCAACGUCAGUGUUGGUCAGAGGAAAAAGACUUGGGGAAGGUAGCAGCAUUUAUGCUGUGUUAUAGCCUCUUGUUGUAUACUUUGACUGGAACUGAGGACCGCAGCGCGCCUUUACGGCCGGGGCUUGCCCACGUACGCGCUUAGGAUGUUGGCAAAAUGGCUUUAAGCGACCCGUCUUGAAACACGG